RNA transcript from Gallus gallus (chicken), 5440 nucleotides. It is a transcript of the gene named zinc finger protein 703, with no coding region annotated. The transcript is spliced from 3 exons. The record is from RefSeq and is a predicted model, not a curated record. Lineage: Eukaryota; Metazoa; Chordata; Aves; Galliformes; Phasianidae.
GCUAUUUGACGUGUCGGUCGGGAAGGGGAAGGGUUUUGUCUCGCCGGGGCCGCCGCCGCCGCCGCUCCGCCGCCCGCCCGGCCCGGCCCGGCCCCGCGGAGCCCGGCGCGCCGCCCGCCGCCGCCGCCCGCCCCAAAUGAGCGGUGCCCCCGGCGGGCCCCGGCCGAGGACCCCGCCGAGCCGCGGAGCCGCGGGCGCCCCGUCGCCCCGGCCGCCCCCCGCCGACCCGCUGCGCCAGGCCAGCCGGCUGCCCAUCCGCGUCCUGAAGAUGCUCAGCGCCCACAGCGGCCACCUCCUGCACCCCGAGUACCUCCAGCCGCUCUCCUCCACGCCCGUCAGCCCCAUCGAGCUGGACGCCAAGAAGAGCCCUCUGGCGCUGCUGGCCCAGACCUGCUCGCAGAUCGGCAAACCCGACCCUCCGCCCUCCUCCAAGCUGAACGCCGUCGCCUCCGCCGGGCUGCCCGCCGCCGACAAGGAGCCCUCCGCCCGCCCCGCCGCGCUCAAACCGCCGGGCGGCAGCGGGGACGCUCCGCCCGAGGACAAGUCCAGCUUCAAGCCCUACUCCAAGGGCGGGGAGCCGCGCAAGGAGGGCCCGGACAAGGCCGGCUUCCGCGUGCCCAGCGCCGCCUGCCCGCCGUUCCCCCCGCACAGCGCCGCAUCCCCGGGCGGCUCCCGCGGCGCGUCCCCGCAGCACGCCGAGCCCAAGGGCGCCGACGACAAGAAGGAGCCCGAGGCGGGCAAACCCGGCCCCGACGGGGCGAGCGGGGCUUUGGGGCGCGGGGCGGCGGCGGAGCCCGGGGCGCACGGCGAACCCCCCGCCUCGGGCCGCAAAUCGGAGCCCCCCGCGCUGCCGCCCGCCGCCGGCCAUGUGGCCCCCGUGUCUCCCUACAAGCCGGGCCACUCCGUCUUCCCGCUGCCGCCUUCCAGCAUCGGUUACCACGGCUCCAUCGUGGGCGCCUACGCCGGGUACCCCUCGCAGUUCGUGCCCGGCUUGGACCCCAGCAAAGCGGGGCUGGUGGGCAGCCAGCUGCCCGGGGCGCUGGGGCUGCCGGGGAAGCCGCCCAGUUCCAGCCCGCUGACCGGGGCCUCGCCGCCCUCCUUCAUGCAGGGAUUAUGCCGGGACCCGUACUGCCUGAGCUACCACAGCGCCUCGCACCUGGGCUCCGGCAACUGCUCCAGCUGCGUGCACGACGCCGGCAGCCUGAAGAGCGGAUACCCCCUGGUGUACCCAGCGCACCCCCUGCACUCGGUGCACACCACGCUCUCCUCCGGCGGCACCCCCAGCCUGCCCGGCCACCCCCUCUACACCUAUGGCUUCAUGCUGCAGAACGACCCCCUGCCCCACAUAUGCAACUGGGUGUCUGCCAGCGGACCCUGCGAUAAGAGGUUUGCCACCUCGGAGGAGCUGCUCACCCACCUACGGACCCACACGGCGCUGCCGGGCGCAGAGAAACUCUUGGCCGGGUACCCCACGUCGGGGUUGGGCUCGGCUGCCUCCUGCCACCUCCACCUCCCGCCCGCCGCCCCCGGCAGCCCCAGCACGUUACCGGCCUCCCUGUCCUUGAGGAGCCCACACACUUUGGGACUCAACAGGUACCACCCGUACGGCAAGAGCCAUUUGCCCGCAGCCGGAGCUCUCCCCGUGCCGUCCUUGCCGGCUGCCGGACCUUACUACUCCCCCUACGCUCUCUAUGGCCAAAGACUGACUUCAGCUUCUGCACUGGGAUAUCAGUAACCACGGCAGCCCCUUCCCCUCGCCGAGCCCCCCCUUCCCCCCCCACCCCGCUCCCUCCUCGGAACUGUGUAUUUAUUUACUGUAUGUUAGCUUAAAGCUGGGAAUAUAAGUGCAUUAAUACACCAAUGAAUCGAUGGUAUGCAAAGAGUCUGUGUCCAAAAAAAAAAAAAAAAAGAAAAAAAAGAAAAAAAAAAGGAGAAAAAAAACCCCUCUUUUCUUUGCAGUUGUGGGGCUUCGGGUUUGGGGGUGUUUUUUUUUUUCCCUGCUGUUUCUUUUAAUUGAGUUUUUUUUUUUUUUUUCCUUCCCCUUCUUCAUUUUCCCCCCUGAGAAAUUCUUGCAUGACUCCCAACACGCCCGGGGAGGAACAAAAAAGACAAAAAAAAAAAAAAAAAGCUUCAACCACGUUUCUUCCUCCUCCUCCCCCUCCUCGUUUGUCGUUCUGGGAUUCAGUUUCUCUUCCUUUGUGAAGUUAACAGAUGUCAUUUUUUUUUAUUAUUAUUUUUAUUUUUAUUUUUUUUUUUUGCAAUGCGUUUUGGGGCUGCGGAUGGAGCAGCCCCCGCCCCGCGGCUCCCGCCCGGCCCCUCCGCGGGGACGAACCCCCCUCCUUUCCCCCCCCAUCCUCCUCCUCCUCCCCCCGGGGCUGCGGGCGCCCACCCCGACGGCGGCGGCGGUCCCACGGACGGAGCGGCCCCACGGACGGAGCGGCGGCGGGCGCGGGGCCGCCCGGCCGGGAGGGCUGCGAGCAUUGCGGGUGACUUAAGAGCUGCGGCUUGCUAAACGCUCGCUGGAGGACGCUGGGGGAGACGCUCGGCUGACAGCUUCGUUUACAGAAGUGUAUUCCUUCAGCUCCAUUCGCAAUAACAAACAGAUUUCCACAGACCAUAAUGUUUUCCAAUGCGGCGUUUAUGGAAGCCGUGUGCCAUGACUUCACCCCACCCCACGGUGCUGUGAUGGGGGAGCACAACCUCGCUGUGGAUGGGCAGAUGUGAUCGUGGGCACCCAGGGAACCCAACCGGCCCGGCGUUCUGUGUUUGCAGCCCCAGCACCUCCAUGGAGCCCUCCUGGACCCCACCCAGCGCCGCGCUGCAGGGAGAUGCCGGAGCACAGCGAAGAGGAGAGGGGGAUGAAAACAUUUUGGGAUGCUUUCUGGAUGAGUUUCAGCCUUCUCUGUGCUCCUCUCCUUUGGGAAGAGAGGAAAGGAGAUGGGAGUGUGCGAGAUUUGCUGCGCUGUUCUUUCCUGGUGUGUUCGCUCGCUGCGAGCCGGAGCUGCUGUGCUGCCCUCCUGCCUUCCCUGAGCAGAGCAUGGGGACCAGGACCCCCCUCUGCCACCAGCACAUGGGAACGCUCAUCCAUACCAUGUCCUUGUGCUGCGAUGGGGCUGAUGCCUGCAGAGCUGGCUGUGAACCCAGCACCUGGGAGCUCUGCUGGGCAGCGCUCCUGCAGAAGUGACGAAUUGUUUCUGCCGGAGCAAUUGUUACCUCCACCGAUUCCUGUUCCAGCUCAGCACAGCCCCAGUGAUGUCCGUGGAUGCAGAGGGACUGUGGCCAGGCCCGGCUUCCCAGGUGGAACGAGUCGUGUUGUUGGAAAAUGUCUCUGAUGUGAAGCACGGCACUCGCUCUGAGCCGCAGGCAUGGAGCUGCCUCGUGCUGGUGAGAAAAUGAUGGCUCAGCCCACCCCACCAACAAACCCUCACAAUGCACCGGGUAGGGUGGGAGCAGGAAUGGAGCACUGAGGAGUGGAGCUGAGAAAAGACCUCUGUGCCCGCCGGUGUGUGUGCCCAUUUCCCAGACUGUGGCUGAAUUUCAGAUUUGGAACAACUGCUCGGGCAGCAACAGCUCCUCCAGCUGCAGGAACGCACCGGGCCCUCUGUGGCUGUGUUAUGGCUCCCAAACCUCCCGCCUGUGCAGCGUGGGCACGGAGCAGCCCUGCUGUGUGCCUGGAGAGCAAGGAGCAAAUGUGGGCUGGGUUCAGCAGCACUUUCCCCGGGAAGAGCUACAAGAAGAGCUGAGGGUCCCCAGGAGCCCCAGCAUUACGUUGCUUCACCCUUUGCAGGAGGAAAGCUCGCAGCCCUUCGUGCUAUGGGGGAAGCUCCCGUAGCACUCAGACCCAGUGUGUUAUUUCUGGGCUCUGACUCACACUGCUGGAACGAUUCGGGGUUUGCAUGCAGCGAGCAGUGUGUUCCCAGGGGGUGUGGAGAGAGCCGGGGGGCCGGAGCCUUGGGUCGGUUUGCAGGGAUUGCUCGGUUUGUAGGGAUGCUCAGAGCUGCAGUGCAGCAGGAGGGGGUUCAGGAGCCCCCCGGGUUUGCAGCUCACAUCUCACACCGCUGCCCUUCCAUUGCGCCCGGUGCGUUGUCAGAGGCACAGAGUGUGGCGCAGUGAUUUCAGGGAGCUCAGUCCUAUGGGCGCCAUCAGCAUCCCGCAUCCCUCCCGGGGGUCCCGUGCUCAUCCCUCUCCCCUGCCCACCGUGCUUUUAUCUCUUCUGUAGGUACCAAUGGAGCCGUCAGCCUGCGGUACGACAGGUUGCGGGAGCCGGGGCCCCUCGAACAGAGCAGCCUUGUCUGUCAGAGCCGCCUGACACUCCCCAUAAUGGCCAGAUGGAUGAGACUCUGAAAGUAGGACCCGGCGCGUUUUCAACUCUAUUUUGGGUGAAAACACUUCUUGAAAGAUCUUGAAAGGAGCUGGCAGUUGAGGAGUUCCAAUGAUUAAUGAGCGCUGGCUCUGCAGGGCGGGUUGCUCGCGCCGUGCCAGCAGCCGCGCUGCUCCAGCAGCCCCAACCCCGCCGCCCCCCGCGCCCCAUCGGCUCUCCCGGAAAUGACACCAACACGACAGGGCCAGCAUAUGGAAAAAGUUAAAUAUAAAUUACUGCUGAAAGAGGCCUCGCCGAGCGGAGUUAGUUAAAGAUGUUUAUGGAUUCAGAAACACGGGCCUGCAUAUGUAUUUAGAGAUGACAAAUGUGAUUCAAUAAGUAAAGAAUUUCUCUGUGGGCUGAGGCUCAGGCGCUGGGGGGGCUCCCGGCCGUAAAUCUGGGGACAGCCUCCUCUUUCCCUCUCCUUUUUGCUCCUUCCAGGAUCAGAGCAAAGCGCUGCCUCUGCUCCUGCGUCCGUGUUCCCUGCCCUGCACCCCUGCUGCUUUCUUUUAUGGGUUUUUACCCCAAAACGGCUCUUGCUGCCAUGGCACGAAGGGUGCGGGAUGCCCCCCCGUUCCCACGUGCUCAUGCAGACCCGAAGUGCUGGCAGAGCUCAGAGCGGUGCCGUGGGGUGGGGGGGCUCCGAUGGGGAUCCCUGUGCCCCUGGUGGACCAUGCUCGUGCAGCCGGACCCUGCAGGACUGUCAGCAAAUGAUUAAUGACCAACAGCCCCCGGGCUGCCCCCACCAGGAUCGUGUGCCUCGUGCUUCAUGCGUGCUUUGCAAGUUGCUGCAUGCACGCUCAGCCCAAAGCGGGGACCCCCACAAAGACCCCGGAGAGCCCAUCCAGAGGACGGGUGUGCAGGACAUGGGCUGUCUCCCCACGCCCCCCCUGCGUACCCCCACUGUUUUUUGGGGGUCAGCGCCCGGCCGGACUGUUGACUGCCAGCCACAUUCCUUUGUCCUGAUUUGAUUCGUUAGCAGCGUUUGGCUGGGACACAGAGACAGCUAAUGAGGGACUGAGUUUAUUGCAGUUUGAUUUUUCUGUUAAAACAAUACAAUAAAAUAAAUGCGCUUGGAAA